This 619-nucleotide ribosomal RNA is filed under the name Bacillus aerophilus. Its description in RNAcentral is "bacterial SSU rRNA". It matches the Rfam family "Bacterial small subunit ribosomal RNA", at positions 769 to 1388 of the family's 1533-position model. Lineage: Bacteria; Bacillati; Bacillota; Bacilli; Caryophanales; Bacillaceae. The record is from RNAcentral.
CGAACAGGAUUAGAUACCCUGGUAGUCCACGCCGUAAACGAUGAGUGCUAAGUGUUAGGGGGUUUCCGCCCCUUAGUGCUGCAGCUAACGCAUUAAGCACUCCGCCUGGGGAGUACGGUCGCAAGACUGAAACUCAAAGGAAUUGACGGGGGCCCGCACAAGCGGUGGAGCAUGUGGUUUAAUUCGAAGCAACGCGAAGAACCUUACCAGGUCUUGACAUCCUCUGACAACCCUAGAGAUAGGGCUUUCCCUUCGGGGACAGAGUGACAGGUGGUGCAUGGUUGUCGUCAGCUCGUGUCGUGAGAUGUUGGGUUAAGUCCCGCAACGAGCGCAACCCUUGAUCUUAGUUGCCAGCAUUCAGUUGGGCACUCUAAGGUGACUGCCGGUGACAAACCGGAGGAAGGUGGGGAUGACGUCAAAUCAUCAUGCCCCUUAUGACCUGGGCUACACACGUGCUACAAUGGACAGAACAAAGGGCUGCGAGACCGCAAGGUUUAGCCAAUCCCACAAAUCUGUUCUCAGUUCGGAUCGCAGUCUGCAACUCGACUGCGUGAAGCUGGAAUCGCUAGUAAUCGCGGAUCAGCAUGCCGCGGUGAAUACGUCCCCGGGCCUUGUACAA